GCGCCUGUAGCUCAGCUGGAUAGAGCAACGGACUUCUAAUCCGUAGGUCGUAGGUUCGACUCCUACCAGGCGUGCCA
This 77-nucleotide transfer RNA is filed under the name Deltaproteobacteria bacterium RBG_13_52_11. RNAcentral's name for it is "tRNA-Arg". It matches the Rfam family "tRNA". Rfam says of the family: Transfer RNA (tRNA) molecules are approximately 80 nucleotides in length. Their secondary structure includes four short double-helical elements and three loops (D, anti-codon, and T loops). The record is from RNAcentral. Lineage: Bacteria; Deltaproteobacteria.